This 122-nucleotide ribosomal RNA is filed under the name Uwebraunia dekkeri. Its description in RNAcentral is "partial 18S ribosomal RNA". It matches the Rfam family "Eukaryotic small subunit ribosomal RNA", at positions 1712 to 1831 of the family's 1831-position model. Lineage: Eukaryota; Fungi; Ascomycota; Dothideomycetes; Mycosphaerellales; Dissoconiaceae. RNAcentral also lists the same sequence under 1 other name. The record is from RNAcentral.
GGACUGGCUCAGGGAGGUCGGCAACGACCACCCAGAGCCGGAAAGUUGGUCAAACUCGGUCAUUUAGAGGAAGUAAAAGUCGUAACAAGGUCUCCGUAGGUGAACCUGCGGAGGGAUCAUUA